AUCCAACUGACGAGUUCCAAAUAGGAUGAAACCUGCGUCCUGGAU
RNAcentral lists this non-coding RNA (45 nucleotides) under Schistosoma mattheei. Lineage: Eukaryota; Metazoa; Platyhelminthes; Trematoda; Strigeidida; Schistosomatidae. The record is from RNAcentral.